GACAAACGCUGGCGGCGUGCUUAACACAUGCAAGUCGAACGGGAUUUUGAGGAGCUUGCUCCUUGAAAUUCAGUGGCAAACGGGUGAGUAACGCGUAAACAACCUGCCUUUAGGAUGGGGGCAACAGACGGAAACGACUGCUAAUACCGAAUACGUUCUCUUCUCCGCAUGAAGAAGGGAAGAAAGGAUGGCCACUCGAAGAAGCUAUCGCCUGAAGAGGGGUUUGCGUCUGAUUAGG
This 238-nucleotide ribosomal RNA is filed under the name uncultured bacterium. Its description in RNAcentral is "partial 16S ribosomal RNA". It matches the Rfam family "Bacterial small subunit ribosomal RNA", at positions 28 to 245 of the family's 1533-position model. The record is from RNAcentral.